RNAcentral lists this ribosomal RNA (449 nucleotides) under uncultured bacterium. RNAcentral's name for it is "partial 16S ribosomal RNA". It matches the Rfam family "Bacterial small subunit ribosomal RNA", at positions 338 to 795 of the family's 1533-position model. The record is from RNAcentral.
CCUACGGGUGGCUGCAGUGGGGAAUAUUGGACAAUGGGCGCAAGCCUGAUCCAGCAAUACCGCGUGUGUGAAGAAGGCCUGAGGGUUGUAAAGCACUUUUAAUCGGGAGGAAUAGCGGUCGGUUAAUACCCGGUCGUCUGACAUUACCGAUAGAAAAAGCACCGGCUAACUCCGUGCCAGCAGCCGCGGUAAUACGGAGGGUGCAAACUGGAAUCGGAAUUACUGGGCGCAAAGCGUGAAGUGGCGGUUGAAAGCCCCGGGCUUAACCUGGGAACGGCAUUUGAAACUGAUCGACUAGAGUUGGGUAGAGGGGAGUGGAAUUUCAGGUGUAGCGGUGAAAUGCGUAGAUAUCUGAAGGAACACCAGUGGCGAAGGCGGCUCCCUGGACCCAAACUGACGCUGAGGCACGAAAGCGUGGGUAGCAAACAGGAUUAGAUACCCCAGUAGUC